AUGCACAAAUUACAAAGUUGGCAAGGUCUGCAUAUCUUCCUUGUCUCUCACAUAGCACACUGCUCCUCAUCUCCAUAUCUCCUCAUUUGGGCCUGGCUUCUUAAAACUUUCUUUUCUCUGCUUGAACUCAGGAAUCAUCAGGAAAAGCCAGUAACAUCAGUGGUGUCCAUUGAAUGGCUCAGAUUUGAGAAAACCCAGGCUUCUGGAAGCAGUGAUAGAGCAGCUGCAGCCAGAGGCUCCCACAUGGUGGCCUGGAGAAUAUGGUAUUUCCAUCCACAAACCAAGCACCAGGAGAGUCAAGGAGCUGAAACUACUCAGUGUGUUUAAAAUGGGUCCACUUCUGGUUGCUUAUCUUUGCUCCCAAGUAAUUAAAACACCACCACAAUACCUGGAUCACUUUUGCUUGGUACCUGGUGCCUCGUCUUGAAAGUCAGAGAGUGUUUUUCAGGAAGAAGACGCCCAUCUUCUCAUUGAGCAAGUGCAAAGAGUCAAACACAUCUCACUGAGCCACACUGCACCUGGAGAUGUAUCCAGGGGGAGAUAUGCAAAAAUGCACAGCAGCCCCAGGUUUCCUCCUAGCAUUUCCUGUCAGCUGUCUGGCUAUCUACCAGGGAAAAAGAAAAACCUCCUAAUACGGUUCCUGUGGGAAUUUGAAUUACUACAGACAAGGCCAGAAAUCUCCUCAGUCUACCCUUUGCUCAUAGAGGUGUCUCCUCCUUCUUCAACUUGCCUGCUAUUAAACAGAGCUUUUUAUAGUACCCAGACUAUGUCAGCCCUCUCAGAUGAAUUACUUUUUCUGAAGGAAAAAAAAAAGGGAAAAUAA
RNAcentral lists this long non-coding RNA (823 nucleotides) under Felis catus (domestic cat). RNAcentral describes it as "lncRNA (ENSFCAG00000052230.1)". Lineage: Eukaryota; Metazoa; Chordata; Mammalia; Carnivora; Felidae. The record is from RNAcentral.